This 353-nucleotide ribosomal RNA is filed under the name Pedioplanis inornata. RNAcentral describes it as "partial 12S ribosomal RNA". It matches the Rfam family "Bacterial small subunit ribosomal RNA", at positions 862 to 1383 of the family's 1533-position model. The record is from RNAcentral. Lineage: Eukaryota; Metazoa; Chordata; Lepidosauria; Squamata; Lacertidae.
AUGCUUUCCGCCGGAGAACUACGAGUGAAAAACUUAAAACUCAAAGGACUUGGCGGUAUCCCACAUCGGCCUAGAGGAGCCUGUCCUAUAAUCGAUACCCCCCGUUCCACCCAACCUUAGUUAGCCCCAUCAGCCUAUAUACCGCCGUCGACAGUCUACCCCAUGAGGGUCCAACAGUAGACAUAAAAGCAACCCCGCUAGUACGUCAGGUCAAGGUGUAGCAAAUACUGAGGCAGAGAUUGGCUACAUUUUUUAAAAUAAAAAAAACGAAAUGCGCCAUGAAACAUCACAUGAAGGUGAAUUUAGCAGUAAAACAGAUAAGAGUGUUUGUUUUAACACCGCUCUGGGAUGCG